RNAcentral lists this ribosomal RNA (253 nucleotides) under uncultured bacterium. RNAcentral describes it as "partial 16S ribosomal RNA". It matches the Rfam family "Bacterial small subunit ribosomal RNA", at positions 524 to 776 of the family's 1533-position model. The record is from RNAcentral.
UACGUAGGGUGCGAGCGUUAAUCGGAAUUACUGGGCGUAAAGCGUGCGCAGGCGGUUUGUUAAGUCCGCUGUGAAAGCCCCGGGCUCAACCUGGGAACCGCGCUUGAGACUGGCGGACUCGAGUUCGGGAGAGGAUGGUGGAAUUCCCAGUGUAGAGGUGAAAUUCGUAGAUAUUGGGAAGAACACCGAUGGCGAAGGCAGCCAUCUGGACCGACACUGACGCUGAGGCGCGAAAGCGUGGGGAGCAAACAGG